CCAGACUCCUACGGGAGGCAGCAGUAAGGGAUAUUGGUCAAUGGGGGAAACCCUGAACCAGCAACGCCGCGUGAGGGAAGACGGUUUUCGGAUUGUAAACCUCUGUCCUCUGUGAAGAUGAUGACGGUAGCAGAGGAGGAAGCUCCGGCUAACUACGUGCCAGCAGCCGCGGUAAUACGUAGGGAGCGAGCGUUGUCCGGAUUUACUGGGUGUAAAGGGUGCGUAGGCGGCUUGGCAAGUCAGUAGUGAAAUCCAUGGGCUUAACCCAUGAACUGCUAUUGAAACUGUCGAGCUUGAGUGAAGUAGAGGUAGGCGGAAUUCCCGGUGUAGCGGUGAAAUGCGUAGAGAUCGGGAGGAACACCAGUGGCGAAGGCGGCCUACUGGGCUUUAACUGACGCUGAGGCACGAAAGCGUGGGUAGCAAACAGGAUUAGAUACCCGAGUA
This 444-nucleotide ribosomal RNA is filed under the name uncultured bacterium. RNAcentral's name for it is "bacterial SSU rRNA". It matches the Rfam family "Bacterial small subunit ribosomal RNA", at positions 331 to 792 of the family's 1533-position model. The record is from RNAcentral.